RNAcentral lists this long non-coding RNA (1064 nucleotides) under Homo sapiens (human). RNAcentral's name for it is "HSALNT0288670". Lineage: Eukaryota; Metazoa; Chordata; Mammalia; Primates; Hominidae. The record is from RNAcentral.
CUGAACAAUCUGAACUCUGCCUUUAUUUGGUGCCACAGGUAAGCCAGGAGGGGGCGCAUGGUUCCCACAUCAUGACAACCACAGGGUGCAGGUGAUGCCACCUUUUCUGACCAUGGAGGCUCCCACGUGUUCAACAUCGGCUGCUUUAGAGGACGAGACCUGCGUUCUGCUCAGCACACACUGAGCACCAUCACCUCACUGGGGGACAGCUGGAAGCAGAGCUGCGUAUAGAUUUUAUGACAAGCUGAACAGCCUCCAGUAAUCAUCACAUCAGCUCUGAUUGCUACUGGACCAACAUUUUGGGGAAAGGUUUCUGAUUGAUCUCAAGCCAAAUUCCCAAGCCAAGGUGGUUUCUGGAGAUGCUGUUCAGCUGCUGAUAACAUCUGGCCUUUGGACAGGCUCAAAAAAAUUAAAGCUAAUAAUGCUAGAUUCAGUUGCAUCUAUGGGGUUCCAUAUUCUCCAUUUCCCCCUUUCUGCUUUUGCAACUGCUGUUUUUAGGGAAAGAUUCAUUCUUUCCACUAUGGCUUGUCCUUGAGAAUUGUAUGGGAUACCAGUAAUGUGUUUAGUAUUCCACAUAGAGAAAAAUGUAGCUAGAGUUUGGAUAGUACAGCCUGGGGCAUUAACUGUUUUAGUAGAAGCUGGAAUGCCCAUCACCACAAAACACUGCAAAAAUUGAUGUUUAACACAGUCAGAAGACUCACCUGAUUUGCACAUAGCCCAGAAAAAGUGAGAAAAUGUGUACACACAUAUAUGUACAAAAGCUAGUCUCCCAAAUGAGGAAACAAGUGUGAUAUUCAUUUGCCAAAGAGAGUUAGGUUCCAAUCUUCGAUGAUUAACUCCUCCUAUAAAAGAUGAUGAAUGUACGAUUUGGCAACUUGGGCAUCACUGGAUAAUAGCUUAACUUAUUUCCAGGUAAUGCUGUAUCUGCAUUUGAGACAAGGCAUUAACAUGGGUUAAAUUGUGAAAGUGUCUAGAAUUAGAUACUGCAUUAGCAAUGAGGUGAUUAGCCAUUUGAUUCCCUUCAGUCAAAGGUCCUGUAAGAGGUGUAUAGCCCUAGUGUGAGU